This is a long non-coding RNA of Drosophila mojavensis, 858 nucleotides long. RefSeq lists it as uncharacterized. Lineage: Eukaryota; Metazoa; Arthropoda; Insecta; Diptera; Drosophilidae. The transcript has 2 exons. The record is from RefSeq and is a predicted model, not a curated record.
AAACUGAAUAAAAAACUAAAAAUAAAUUUUAGUGUGGAUAAAGAUCGUUGCCAAAUAUAUAGUCAAACAUAUUUUAAAAUAUGUGAAAUUAAAUUUUUAAUUGCAAAAAAAAAUUUAGUUUUCACUAGUGGAACACUAAAAUAUAUAUAGACUUGUAUAUAGGAAGUAGCUUGAAGUGGGGCUCUCACUAACAACUUACUUGAUUUUUUAUCAGUAUACUCUGUAUACUCUACGGAAACUAGACUUAGUAGCCGUCUUUUUUCCAGUUCCAAAUGUAGAAAAUGUAAUAGAGAUAUGUAGAAAUAUUUGAAGGCCUCUCAGUUUGUAACUGCAGCUCUAUUCCAACUUAUGACAUUACCAACAUUUUCUUUUCUCUUCAAUUUCAAUGGCUAACAGAGUCGGCAAUGAAAGCGUAGUACCCGGCUGCAAGGAGAGUAUGACAGACAGCUUGUCGUUCGGCUGCUUAGAGCGCUCUGCGACUCAACUUGUUUUCAAGGGCCAGUCAAGACAAACACAAGCGGCCGAAGAGGGGAGCUGAGAGCGGAGAGCGGAGAGCGGAGAGAGGAAGGCGGGCUGUCUACUUUAUGGGCUAUUUGGGAAACCUUGACCAACUCGUAGAAACCUAUGCAAUUCAAAAGACUGUGGAAAUCGUUGUGGAACAUGAAAAACACCAACACCAACAGCAGCAGCAGCAACGGCAGUGGCAGCAUGCGUACCGAUGCGGAAAAUCUGAAAGGUCUUUAUUAUUAUGGCAAUAGCCGAGCAAAGCAAUCGCACAAGGAGAUUGCGGAUUGUCGGUUUUCAAAAAUAGUAUUAGUAUAGUAUUUAUUUAUUUAUUAAACAGAAAACGCAUAAUUA